GGAUGGGAUCAUACCAGCACUAAUCCACCGGAUCCCCUUCAGAACUCCGCAGCUAAGCGUGCUUGGGCGAGAGUAGUACUAGGAUGGGUGACCUCCCAGGAAGUCCUCGUGUUGCAUCAC
Molecule: ribosomal RNA, 120 nt
Filed under: Arabidopsis suecica
Lineage: Eukaryota; Viridiplantae; Streptophyta; Magnoliopsida; Brassicales; Brassicaceae
Source: RNAcentral